GGGAAACAGGUUAAUAUUCCUGUACUCGGUGUUACUGCGAAGGGGGGACGGAGAAGGCUAUGUUGGCCGGGCGACGGUUGUCCCGGUUUAAGCAUGUAGGCGGAUGUUCCAGGUAAAUCCGGAACGUUACUAACGCUGAGGUGUGAUGACGAGGCACUACGGUGCUGAAGUGACAAAUGCCCUGCUUCCAGGAAAAGCCUCUAAGCAUCAGGUAACAUCAAAUCGUACCCCAAACCGACACAGGUGGUCAGGUAGAGA
RNAcentral lists this ribosomal RNA (258 nucleotides) under Klebsiella oxytoca. RNAcentral describes it as "partial 23S ribosomal RNA". It matches the Rfam family "Bacterial large subunit ribosomal RNA", at positions 1420 to 1677 of the family's 2925-position model. The record is from RNAcentral. Lineage: Bacteria; Pseudomonadati; Pseudomonadota; Gammaproteobacteria; Enterobacterales; Enterobacteriaceae.